RNAcentral lists this ribosomal RNA (358 nucleotides) under uncultured bacterium. RNAcentral describes it as "partial 16S ribosomal RNA". It matches the Rfam family "Bacterial small subunit ribosomal RNA", at positions 338 to 693 of the family's 1533-position model. The record is from RNAcentral.
CCUACGGGUGACAGCAGUGAGGAAUAUUGGUCAAUGGGCGCGAGCCUGAACCAGCCAAGUAGCGUGAAGGAUGACUGCCCUACGGGUUGUAAACUUCUUUUAUAAAGGAAUAAAGUGAGGCACGUGUGCCUGUUGGUAGGUACUUUAUGAAUAAGGAUCGGCUAACUCCGUGCCAGCAGCCGCGGUAAUACGGAGGAUCCGAGCGUUAUCCGGAUUUGUUGGGUUUAAAGGGAGCGUAGAUGGGUUGUUAAGUCAGUUGGGAAAGUUUGCGGCUCAACCGUAAAAUUUCAAUUGAUACUGGCCGCCUUGAGUACAGUUGAGGUAGGCGGAAUUCGUGGUGUAGCGGUGAAAUGCUUAG